Molecule: non-coding RNA, 284 nt
Organism: Cinara cedri
Lineage: Eukaryota; Metazoa; Arthropoda; Insecta; Hemiptera; Aphididae
Source: the annotation of a GenBank genome assembly
CUUUCAUUUUCAAACAGUUUGCAUCUCGUGUUUUUUACGGAUAAAAGCAAAAGAAAUAGUACAAAAUGACACCGUUUUUAUAAUACUACGCAUCUCGUACCAUGUUGUUUUAUCACCUAAACUAUGUUUUACGAUGCAGCUCCUUUAAUCUCGUAUACAAAUUAAAAACAAAUAGACUAUCAUAUACAUAAAAGGCUGUUCAAUUUACCACUUUGUUAUAUUUUUUAUAAUUAUAAUGUUAUGUAGGUACCUUGAAGUUUUUGCAUCAAACAGCCACGUAAAUU